AAUUCUCAACCCUCUUCGCUUUGUUGCGAAGCCAGGGCUUGGACUUGGAGGCUUUUGCCGGCUCUUGUCGGCUCCUCUCAAACGCAUUAGCUACGUCUUGUUGCGAGCGGUCCUCGGUGUGAUAAUUAUCUACGUCGUCGUCGCUUGCUUCUUUUCGGAGACGCGCUUCAAACCGUCCGAAAGGACAAUUCAUCGAA
This 197-nucleotide unclassified non-coding RNA is filed under the name uncultured Stereum. Its description in RNAcentral is "sequence contains ITS2". Lineage: Eukaryota; Fungi; Basidiomycota; Agaricomycetes; Russulales; Stereaceae. The record is from RNAcentral.